GAUCAUGGCUCAGAUUGAACGCUGGCGGCAGGCCUAACACAUGCAAGUCGAGCGGCAUCGGGAAGGUAGCUUGCUAUCUUUGCCGGCGAGCGGCGGACGGGUGAGUAAAGUCUGGGGAUCUGCCUGAUGGAGGGGGAUAACUACUGGAAACGGUAGCUAAUACCGCAUGAUGUUACGCGACCAAAGCGGGGGACCUCCGGGCCUCGCGCCAUCAGAUGAACCCAGAUGGGAUUAGCUAGUAGGAGAGGUAAUGGCUCCCCUAGGCGACGAUCCCUAGCUGGUCUGAGAGGAUAACCAGCCACACUGGAACUGAGAGACGGUCCAGACUCCUACGGGAGGCAGCAGUGGGGAAUAUUGCACAAUGGGCGCAAGCCUGA
RNAcentral lists this ribosomal RNA (377 nucleotides) under symbiont type-X of Acyrthosiphon pisum. Its description in RNAcentral is "bacterial SSU rRNA". It matches the Rfam family "Bacterial small subunit ribosomal RNA", at positions 15 to 386 of the family's 1533-position model. Lineage: Bacteria; Pseudomonadati; Pseudomonadota; Gammaproteobacteria; Enterobacterales; Enterobacteriaceae. The record is from RNAcentral.